GUAGGUGGCAAGCGUUGUCCGGAAUUAUUGGGCGUAAAGCGCGCGCAGGCGGUUCUUUAAGUCUGAUGUGAAAGCCCACGGCUCAACCGUGGAGGGUCAUUGGAAACUGGAGAACUUGAGUACAGAAGAGGAAAGCGGAUUUCCACGUGUAGCGGUGAAAUGCGUAGAGAUGUGGAGGAACACCAGUGGCGAAGGCGGCUUUCUGGUCUGUAACUGACGCUGAGGCGCGAAAGCGUGGGGAGCAAACAGGAUUAGAUACCCUGGUAGUCCACGCCGUAAACGAUGAGUGCUAAGUGUUAGGGGGGUUUUCCGCCCCCCUUAGUGCUGCAGCUAACGCAUUAAGCACUCCGCCUGGGAGUACGGCCGCAAGGCUG
This 374-nucleotide ribosomal RNA is filed under the name uncultured organism. RNAcentral describes it as "partial 16S ribosomal RNA". It matches the Rfam family "Bacterial small subunit ribosomal RNA", at positions 527 to 896 of the family's 1533-position model. The record is from RNAcentral.